RNAcentral lists this small RNA (108 nucleotides) under Klebsiella pneumoniae. RNAcentral describes it as "partial RtT sRNA". It matches the Rfam family "RtT RNA", at positions 25 to 130 of the family's 130-position model. From Rfam's summary of the family: This family represents a bacterial cis-regulatory element known as RtT RNA. The exact function of RtT is unknown although it is thought that it may be involved in changing the cellular response in relation to amino acid starvation. Lineage: Bacteria; Pseudomonadati; Pseudomonadota; Gammaproteobacteria; Enterobacterales; Enterobacteriaceae. The record is from RNAcentral.
GGAAGCUCCGCCUAGGGUUCGCCUCGGGCGAAGCGAGAGAACGUUGCCGCAGGCAACGGCCCGAAGGGCGAGGCGCUUUAGCGCCGAGUAAUCCUUCCCCCACCACCA